CGAAAGCCUGACGGAGCAACGCCGCGUGAGGGAUGAAGGCCUCUGGGCUGUAAACCUCUUUUAUCAAGGAAGAAGAUCUGACGGUACUUGAUGAAUAAGCCACGGCUAAUUCCGUGCCAGCAGCCGCGGUAAUACGGGAGUGGCAAGCGUUAUCCGGAAUUAUUGGGCGUAAAGCGUCCGCAGGCGGCCCUACAAGUCUGCUGUUAAAAAGUGGAGCUUAACUCCAUCAUGGCAGUGGAAACUGUUGGGCUUGAGUGUGGUAGGGGCAGAGGGAAUUCCCGGUGUAGCGGUGAAAUGCGUAGAUAUCGGGAAGAACACCAGUGGCGAAGGCGCUCUGCUGGGCCAUCACUGACGCUCAUGGACGAAAGCCAGGGGAGCG
This 379-nucleotide ribosomal RNA is filed under the name uncultured cyanobacterium. RNAcentral's name for it is "bacterial SSU rRNA". It matches the Rfam family "Bacterial small subunit ribosomal RNA", at positions 376 to 770 of the family's 1533-position model. Lineage: Bacteria; Bacillati; Cyanobacteriota. The record is from RNAcentral.